AUUGAACGCUGGCGGCAGGCCUAACACAUGCAAGUCGAGCGGAUGAAGGGAGCUUGCUCCUGGAUUCAGCGGCGGACGGGUGAGUAAUGCCUAGGAAUCUGCCUGGUAGUGGGGGAUAACGUCCGGAAACGGGCGCUAAUACCGCAUACGUCCUGAGGGAGAAAGUGGGGGAUCUUCGGACCUCACGCUAUCAGAUGAGCCUAGGUCGGAUUAGCUAGUUGGUGGGGUAAAGGCCUACCAAGGCGACGAUCCGUAACUGGUCUGAGAGGAUGAUCAGUCACACUGGAACUGGGACACGGUCCAGACUCCUACGGGAGGCAGCAGUGGGGAAUAUUGGACAAUGGGCGAAAGCCUGAUCCAGCCAUGCCGCGUGUGUAAAGAAGGUCUUCGGAUUGUAAAGCACUUUAAGUUGGGAGGAAGGGCAGUAAGUUAAUACCUUGCUGUUUUGACGUUACCAACAGAAUAAGCACCGGCUAACUUCGUG
Molecule: ribosomal RNA, 484 nt
Filed under: uncultured bacterium
Lineage: Bacteria
Description: partial 16S ribosomal RNA
Rfam family: Bacterial small subunit ribosomal RNA
Source: RNAcentral